RNAcentral lists this ribosomal RNA (301 nucleotides) under uncultured bacterium. RNAcentral describes it as "partial 16S ribosomal RNA". It matches the Rfam family "Bacterial small subunit ribosomal RNA", at positions 509 to 807 of the family's 1533-position model. The record is from RNAcentral.
CAGUAGCCACGGUAAUACGUAGGUCCCGAGCGUUGUCCGGAUUUAUUGGGCGUAAAGCGAGCGCAGGCGGUUAGAUAAGUCUGAUGUGAAAGCCCCCGGCUCAACCGGGGAGGGUCAUUGGAAACUGGGAAACUUGAGUGCAGAAGAGGAGAGUGGAAUUCCACGUGUAGCAGUGAAAUGCGUAGAGAUGUGGAGGAACACCGAUGGCGAAGGCAGCCCCCUGGGCCAAUACUGACGCUCAUGCACGAAAGCUAGGGGAGCAAAUGGGAUUAGAUACCCCUGUAGUCCCUGUCUCUUAUAC